Molecule: long non-coding RNA, 379 nt
Organism: Melopsittacus undulatus (budgerigar)
Lineage: Eukaryota; Metazoa; Chordata; Aves; Psittaciformes; Psittaculidae
Exons: 6
Source: RefSeq, a predicted model, not a curated record
CGAGCCCCUCCCCCCUCCGAGGAGCGUGAUGACGAUUACACCAACGACCCCUACGUCACCGGCUACGUUGACGUCAUCCCGGACGUGGAGAGCGACCACGCAGCGCCGCCACGUGACGACUACGAGAAUGUCCCGGAUGGAGCCAGGAGCCCCUUAGGCAGCAGCCUCGAGUACAUCAACCUCCACGUGGAUGACGCGAGCGACAACGACGACAAUGGCGGCGACUACGAGAACUUCUAGGUCUCUGGAGCUGCCCCCCCAUUGGACCCCCCUUAUUUAUUGUGACCCCCAAGUGAGCUGACGGCGCCUGAGAGACCCCAUAGAGACCCAUAGAGACCCAUAGAGACCCAUAGAGACCCAUAGAGACACAUAGAGACCC